Molecule: unclassified non-coding RNA, 193 nt
Filed under: uncultured Hydnobolites
Lineage: Eukaryota; Fungi; Ascomycota; Pezizomycetes; Pezizales; Pezizaceae
Description: partial internal transcribed spacer 2
Source: RNAcentral
AAAAUAUUCUCAAAUUUUAGUUUUGUGCCAAAAUUUGGAUCAUGUCAAGGAAGCUAUUACUAUUAUUGUGAUCGCUCUUUGGAAAUUAAUAGGUCUUUGAGUUACUACUCAUAGAACGUGAUGAAUCUUUCUUCGUUCUAUUGUAGUUCACUCUGGUAGUCCUAAAACUUGUAUGCCUGUAGCAUAUCUUGUA